RNAcentral lists this ribosomal RNA (309 nucleotides) under Bifidobacterium longum. Its description in RNAcentral is "bacterial SSU rRNA". It matches the Rfam family "Bacterial small subunit ribosomal RNA", at positions 79 to 389 of the family's 1533-position model. The record is from RNAcentral. Lineage: Bacteria; Bacillati; Actinomycetota; Actinomycetes; Bifidobacteriales; Bifidobacteriaceae.
CUUGCUUGGUGGUGAGAGUGGCGAACGGGUGAGUAAUGCGUGACCGACCUGCCCCAUACACCGGAAUAGCUCCUGGAAACGGGUGGUAAUGCCGGAUGCUCCAGUUGAUCGCAUGGUCUUCUGGGAAAGCUUUCGCGGUAUGGGAUGGGGUCGCGUCCUAUCAGCUUGACGGCGGGGUAACGGCCCACCGUGGCUUCGACGGGUAGCCGGCCUGAGAGGGCGACCGGCCACAUUGGGACUGAGAUACGGCCCAGACUCCUACGGGAGGCAGCAGUGGGGAAUAUUGCACAAUGGGCGCAAGCCUGAUGC